UCCCUCUCAGGGUCGCACCUGGAGAGUUUCCAGUCCUCUACCAGUCUCGACUUCGGGAGGGAGAGUCAAGCAGAGGCCUACCCAUUUCUAGCUUGGGCAGUGGCUAGCGAGUGGAAGGCAAUCUGCUACAAGU
Small nucleolar RNA from Ornithorhynchus anatinus (platypus), 133 nucleotides. The record is from RefSeq and is a predicted model, not a curated record. Lineage: Eukaryota; Metazoa; Chordata; Mammalia; Monotremata; Ornithorhynchidae.